This 338-nucleotide ribosomal RNA is filed under the name uncultured Streptococcus sp. RNAcentral's name for it is "bacterial SSU rRNA". It matches the Rfam family "Bacterial small subunit ribosomal RNA", at positions 1044 to 1382 of the family's 1533-position model. Lineage: Bacteria; Bacillati; Bacillota; Bacilli; Lactobacillales; Streptococcaceae. The record is from RNAcentral.
CAUGGUUGUCGUCAGCUCGUGUCGUGAGAUGUUGGGUUAAGUCCCGCAACGAGCGCAACCCCUACUUGUUAGUUGCCAUCAUUCAGUUGGGCACUCUAGCGAGACUGCCGGUAAUAAACCGGAGGAAGGUGGGGAUGACGUCAAAUCAUCAUGCCCCUUAUGACCUGGGCUACACACGUGCUACAAUGGUUGGUACAACGAGUUGCGAGUCGGUGACGGCGAGCUAAUCUCUUAAAGCCAAUCUCAGUUCGGAUUGUAGGCUGCAACUCGCCUACAUGAAGUCGGAAUCGCUAGUAAUCGCGGAUCAGCACGCCGCGGUGAAUACGUUCCCGGGCCUU